UUAUGAACAUUAAGAAACAAACUCUACAAAACAAACAUGUGACAGCAGAGUGUUGCGCAAAUCAAGGUAAGUGAAUUAGGAUGUAGUCAGUAAAAAAUGCUUGGGAACCACUGGUUUAUGUUAUCGGAUACCACGGCGAGAUGUGCUUUAUAAAAAACGAACAACAGAAUUCGUCACGGGAAGGAACAAGUGGAAGAACAUAUAUAAAAAAUACUUACAAGUCAGAAGUUAAACAGGUCAAAAACCUAUACGUAUUUCAGCUAAUGAAUAACAAGAAAAAAACCGAUGUAUCAAGAUGAACCAAUCAGCGUGUAGUUUUGGUUUUGCUUAUGAAGUAACCAAUCAGUAGCCAGAGAAUCACAUGUGUUUACAUACAAAAAGCCGUGAUUUUUGACAAGUCAGUCAGUCGUUAAGAAGAUUUUCCAGAAUUUUUAUAGUUCUAUUAGAAAAAACAGCCGUAUUACAGUCAGAAGAAAAUAUUCCUUGUACGAACUCCUUGGGUAAAGUUCCUUGAACUGGUGGCCUGAGUCGAUCUACGACUGCAUAACCUUGAACUACAUAAAUUUCAUUUGUAACUUGUGUUAAACCGACCGAUGUAAAUUGGUGCAGUGCUCCAGGAUUUUGGGGUUAGCCAACAACAGACUGUGAAGAAUAAAGAAAGAAAUUAAGCUAAGUUAGUAUAAGCAGAAAUAAGUAGGGAUAAAAUGAGUUGAUAUGGCCACCACUGACGGACAAAUAAACGUGGGUGCACGAACCAGAGCUGACAGUUCUCGGCUUCACUCGAUACUAACGCGGAUUUUAAGUUUAACCCAGAAGAAAGGAGAAUCGGUUAGUUCAUAUGGGUAUAAACUGGAGGAGCUAGGUAACCGAAUUCCUAUGGUGUAUAAACAACCAGAUGAUAUGGCGGUUCAGGAAACUUUGAAAUCAGUUUAUGAACAGGGAUUACUCAGUAAUCCUGCUAUAAGGCUCGUGAACGAAGCAAAUACCACAGACGCAAGAUUAUCGGACUUAAUUAAAGUAGCUAGGAGAGAAGAAAGACGCGAGCAGUCACUAUACUCGUAUGCGAAACUGAAUAAGCCAGAGGGACCAAAGUGUUUUAAUUGUGGUAAAAUCGGGCAUAUGGCUAAAAACUGUUUUAACAGAAACAAUAUGCAGAUAAAAUGCUUUAAUUGUGGAAUAAGAGGCCACGUGGCGAGGAACUGUAGACGUCAGUCGAAAGCCCCCAAAGACCGAAACUUUUAGAAAAAGGUAGUCUACAAAUACGGAAACCAGCAUUUGCUAAAGCAAAAAUAUAUAUCUAUAUGUAUAAGAUAAUAAAAAAUAUAUAAAA
Limulus polyphemus (Atlantic horseshoe crab) is the source of this 1330-nucleotide long non-coding RNA. RefSeq lists it as uncharacterized. The transcript is spliced from 2 exons. The record is from RefSeq and is a predicted model, not a curated record. Lineage: Eukaryota; Metazoa; Arthropoda; Merostomata; Xiphosura; Limulidae.